GACGAACGCUGGCGGCGUGCUUAACACAUGCAAGUCGAACGGAAAGGCCCUGCUUUUGUGGGGUGCCCGAGUGGCGAACGGGUGAGUAACACGUGAGUAACCUGCCCUUGACUUUGGGAUAACUUCAGGAAACUGGGGCUAAUACCUGAUAGGAGCUCCUGCUGCAUGGUGGGGGUUGGAAAGUUUCGGCGGUUGGGGAUGGACUCGCGGCUUAUCAGCUUGUUGGUGGGGUAGUGGCUUACCAAGGGUUUGACGGGACGCCGGCCUGAAGGGGUAACCGGCCACAUUGGGACUGGAACACGGCCCAGACUCCUACGGUGGGCAGCAGUGAGGAAUAUUGCACAAGGGGCGGAAGCCUGAUGAAGCAACGCCGCGAGCGGGAUAAAGGUAAUCGGGUUGUAAGCCGCUUGCGCCUGUGACGAAGGGUGAGUGACGGUAAUGGGUAAGUAAGCACCGGCUAACUACGUG
RNAcentral lists this ribosomal RNA (468 nucleotides) under uncultured bacterium. RNAcentral describes it as "partial 16S ribosomal RNA". It matches the Rfam family "Bacterial small subunit ribosomal RNA", at positions 28 to 507 of the family's 1533-position model. The record is from RNAcentral.